UUCACUCCAGACUUUUGUUCAACAUGUUGAGAGGAAUUUUUGCCUUAUUGUUCUUGAUCGUUCUAUGCAGCCAUAUCGAGGCCAGGUGUGGAGGAGUUUGCAAGGAAUACAACAACGAUUUUAGGCCCAAGAAUGGAAGAGUUGAGUGGUAUAAAGGAUGUAAUUGCGACAGCACGCUUUUCAAACGAAGGUACAGCCAACUAGACGAUAACUCUCGCCUAGACGAUAUGGAUAGCUAUGUUCAAGAUAGUGGAUUAUCAGGAUUUGGUCGCUUUUACCAGAAGAAAUGAAGCACUUUUUGAAGAAUAAUGCUGGAAUCUUAAGUCAUCAUAAAAGAAAAGCUUUUUUGCUCUUUGUGGAAAAACUAACUUCACAACAUAGAUAAAAUAAAAACUAAUGAC
Molecule: long non-coding RNA, 401 nt
Organism: Uloborus diversus
Lineage: Eukaryota; Metazoa; Arthropoda; Arachnida; Araneae; Uloboridae
Exons: 3
Source: RefSeq, a predicted model, not a curated record